Molecule: long non-coding RNA, 286 nt
Organism: Salarias fasciatus (jewelled blenny)
Lineage: Eukaryota; Metazoa; Chordata; Actinopteri; Blenniiformes; Blenniidae
Exons: 3
Source: RefSeq, a predicted model, not a curated record
UGUGCCAGACGGAGGUCUAUUUGUCUCGGGUGGUUAAUGCAGCUGCCGUGGUGGGAUUGUUGUGACUUUCAGGAAGUGAAAUCGGGGCCUUCUGCCAGAGCCGGUGACUAACAACACGCCGCCGCCGCCUAAUGUUGGAGGGAAUUACAUGCUCGGAUUGGAGAUGACACUCGCUCGCUGAGUUAGAUCAAAGCGGCCAGAUUAUUUGGCCGGAGGAAAAGACGACCGCUGAAUUUAAAAGAAGUGAUAGCUCUGUGUGUGUGUGGCUGCAGUCGCGUUCUUAUUA